This 72-nucleotide transfer RNA is filed under the name Ceriodaphnia dubia. RNAcentral's name for it is "tRNA-Val". It matches the Rfam family "tRNA". Rfam says of the family: Transfer RNA (tRNA) molecules are approximately 80 nucleotides in length. Their secondary structure includes four short double-helical elements and three loops (D, anti-codon, and T loops). Further hydrogen bonds mediate the characteristic L-shaped molecular structure. tRNAs have two regions of fundamental functional importance: the anti-codon, which is responsible for specific mRNA codon recognition, and the 3' end, to which the tRNAs corresponding amino acid is attached (by aminoacyl-tRNA synthetases). tRNAs cope with the degeneracy of the genetic code in two manners: having more than one tRNA (with a specific anti-codon) for a particular amino acid; and 'wobble' base-pairing, i.e. permitting non-standard base-pairing at the 3rd anti-codon position. The record is from RNAcentral. Lineage: Eukaryota; Metazoa; Arthropoda; Branchiopoda; Diplostraca; Daphniidae.
UGAUGUGGAGCUUGAAUAGUUAAGCAAUUCAUUUACAUUGAAUAGAUAUCUGUGCAACUCAGUUCUCAUUAA